RNAcentral lists this ribosomal RNA (423 nucleotides) under uncultured bacterium. RNAcentral's name for it is "bacterial SSU rRNA". It matches the Rfam family "Bacterial small subunit ribosomal RNA", at positions 358 to 773 of the family's 1533-position model. The record is from RNAcentral.
GGAAUAUUGGACAAUGGGCGCAAGCCUGAUCCAGCCAUGCCGCGUGUGUGAAGAAGGCCUUCGGGUUGUAAAGCACUUUCAGCAGAGAAGAAAAGCUCGGGGCUAAUAUCCCCGGGUCUUGACGUAACCUGCAGAAGAAGCACCGGCUAACUCCGUGCCAGCAGCCGCGGUAAUACGGAGGGUUCGAGCGUUAAUCGGAAUUACUGGGCGUAAAGCGCACGUAGGCGGCUUCCUAAGUCGGAUGUGAAAGCCCUGGGCUUAACCUGGGAAUUGCAUCCGAUACUGGGUGACUAGAGUACGGGAGAGGGAAGUGGAAUUUCCGGUGUAGCGGUGAAAUGCGUAGAUAUCGGAAGGAACACCAGUGGCGAAGGCGACUUCCUGGCCCAGUACUGACGCUGAGGUGCGAAAGCGUGGGGAGCAAAC